GUGAAUCAUCGAAUUUUUGAACGCAAAUUGCACUCUCUUCGGAGCGUAUGCGUGUUUGUGGGUGAGUAUUAAUAAAAAUAGAUGUGUUGGUUCUUUUUUACGUUUCGGAGUUUGGGUCAUCUUAAUAUACCUUUGGUUUUAAGAGGAUUAAAAUUGAAUUUUGUUGCGCAUUUUAGAUGUACAUAAAUUUUUUUUUUUAUUAGUAUGUCUUAAUGCUCAAAAUCCGAUU
Molecule: unclassified non-coding RNA, 229 nt
Filed under: Rhizophagus sp. (in: glomeromycetes)
Lineage: Eukaryota; Fungi; Glomeromycota; Glomeromycetes; Glomerales; Glomeraceae
Description: partial contains 5.8S ribosomal RNA and internal transcribed spacer 2
Source: RNAcentral